Molecule: ribosomal RNA, 549 nt
Filed under: Escherichia coli
Lineage: Bacteria; Pseudomonadati; Pseudomonadota; Gammaproteobacteria; Enterobacterales; Enterobacteriaceae
Description: partial 23S ribosomal RNA
Rfam family: Bacterial large subunit ribosomal RNA
Source: RNAcentral
GGUUAAGCGACUAAGCGUACACGGUGGAUGCCCUGGCAGUCAGAGGCGAUGAAGGACGUGCUAAUCUGCGAUAAGCGUCGGUAAGGUGAUAUGAACCGUUAUAACCGGCGAUUUCCGAAUGGGGAAACCCAGUGUGUUUCGACACACUAUCAUUAACUGAAUCCAUAGGUUAAUGAGGCGAACCGGGGGAAAUGAAACAUCUAAGUACCCCGAGGAAAAGAAAUCAACCGAGAUUCCCCCAGUAGCGGCGAGCGAACGGGGAGCAGCCCAGAGCCUGAAUCAGUGUGUGUGUUAGUGGAAGCGUCUGGAAAGGCGCGCGAUACAGGGUGACAGCCCCGUACACAAAAAUGCACAUGCUGUGAGCUCGAUGAGUAGGGCGGGACACGUGGUAUCCUGUCUGAAUAUGGGGGGACCAUCCUCCAAGGCUAAAUACUCCUGACUGACCGAUAGUGAACCAGUACCGUGAGGGAAAGGCGAAAAGAACCCCAGCGAGGGGAGUGAAAAAGAACCUGAAACCGUGUACGUACAAGCAGUGGGAGCACGCUUAGG